This 381-nucleotide ribosomal RNA is filed under the name uncultured marine Chaetocerotaceae. RNAcentral's name for it is "SSU rRNA". It matches the Rfam family "Eukaryotic small subunit ribosomal RNA", at positions 587 to 972 of the family's 1831-position model. The record is from RNAcentral. Lineage: Eukaryota; Bacillariophyta; Thalassiosirophyceae; Chaetocerotales; Chaetocerotaceae.
AGCUCCAAUAGCGUAUAUUAAAGUUGCUGCAGUUAAAAAGCUCGUAGUUGCAUUUCCGAGGCAAGGGAUUAGUCCGACCUUUGGUGGGUAUUUAAUCCUCUUGCCUCGUCCUUGAGUGGUGCUUCUUGGUAUUAAGUUAUCGAGGAGAUAGCCGCUCAUCGUUUACUGUGAGAAAAUUAGAGUGUUCAAAGCAGGCUUAUGCCGUUGAAUAUAUUAGCAUGGGAUAAUGAAAUAGGACCUCGGUACUAUUUUGUUGGUUUGAGAACCAAGGUAAUGAUGAAUAGGGACAGUUGGGGGUAUUCGUAUUCAGUUGUCAGAGGUGAAAUUCUUAGAUUUACGGAAGACGAACUACUGCGAAAGCAUUUACCAAGGAUGUUUUCA